RNAcentral lists this ribosomal RNA (497 nucleotides) under uncultured bacterium. Its description in RNAcentral is "partial 16S ribosomal RNA". It matches the Rfam family "Bacterial small subunit ribosomal RNA", at positions 28 to 507 of the family's 1533-position model. The record is from RNAcentral.
GAUGAACGCUGGCGGCGUGCCUAAUACAUGCAAGUCGAGCGAACGGACGAGAAGCUUGCUUUUCUGAUGUUAGCGGCGGACGGGUGAGUAACACGUGGAUAACCUACCUAUAAGACUGGGAUAACUUCGGGAAACCGGAGCUAAUACCGGAUAAUAUUUUGAACCGCAUGGUUCAAAAGUGAAAGACGGUCUUGCUGUCACUUAUAGAUGGAUCCGCGCUGCAUUAGCUAGUUGGUAAGGUAACGGCUUACCAAGGCAACGAUGCAUAGCCGACCUGAGAGGGUGAUCGGCCACACUGGAACUGAGACACGGUCCAGACUCCUACGGGAGGCAGCAGUAGGGAAUCUUCCGCAAAGGGCGAAAGCCUGACGGAGCAACGCCGCGUGAGUGAUGAAGGUCUUCGGAUCGUAAAACUCUGUUAUUAGGGAAGAACAUAUGUGUAAGUAACUGUGCACGUCUUGACGGUACCUAAUCAGAAAGCCACGGCUAACUACGUG